RNAcentral lists this long non-coding RNA (476 nucleotides) under Equus caballus (horse). RNAcentral describes it as "lncRNA (ENSECAG00000042776.2)". The record is from RNAcentral. Lineage: Eukaryota; Metazoa; Chordata; Mammalia; Perissodactyla; Equidae.
AGACGGUUGUGAUUCAGAUGCAUUAUGUUGGGCUGGAACCGGGUGGUAAAGCUCAUGCCAGCAGGAGCAGCCCAUGACACUCAGAACAGGUUGAGUGAUGCAGAGAAUAAAGAGACAACACAAUAAAAGGAAGUGCUGCCUGCCUAUGUCCCUCCCUGCUGGCUCCCUUAGAAAGCAUCGGCAUCCAUCUGAAGUCUGUGUCCAGGAGUCCCAGACAGGGACCAGCCACAAACAGUCUUUUGCGUGCUCUUCCUUGACUGUGUUCGUGCUGGUGGGGAUGCUGCACAUCGGUUCUCAGAUGCGAGUUGAGAUCAAGGUGAACAGUCAGGAAGAUGACCUCCGCUGAGCAGCAAAGUGAGAAGUGAGGAGAGGGGCUCAGUUCAGAGGCUGGGAACAACCAGGUGACAUCCCAGGCCUACUUGUAUGUGGUAUGGUAGUACCUGACCCUCAAAGAUGGUAAAACAUGGACCUUUCUU